This is a long non-coding RNA of Zophobas morio, 356 nucleotides long. RefSeq lists it as uncharacterized. Lineage: Eukaryota; Metazoa; Arthropoda; Insecta; Coleoptera; Tenebrionidae. The record is from RefSeq and is a predicted model, not a curated record. The transcript has 3 exons.
AACCUUUUCCACCAUUUGGAUUCAAGUUGAUUUUUAAAUUUUGUCGUUUUCUUGUGUUAUUUGAUAGUUUUUAUAGUAGUAUAAUGCCUGAACAACAUGUCAUAAAGUUUCAUCACAUAGCCUUGUUUUUCAUUGAUGCCACUAGAUUCCUUAAAAGAGGUGAAAAUGGUUACAGCAGUGGGCAUGUACAAAAAUUUUUAUGUGACGGAACUGUGAAACCAAUGUUGAUAAAGGGGGAGGUUAAAGCCAGCAUGAAAGCAAACAAUUAUAACGUUGAGGUUUCCUUUGAUCUAGAUGAAGGAGUUAAGGAGGCGUCAUGUACUUGCCCAAGAGGAAAGGUCCUUUGCCACCAUAUG